Molecule: small RNA, 962 nt
Filed under: Pan troglodytes (chimpanzee)
Lineage: Eukaryota; Metazoa; Chordata; Mammalia; Primates; Hominidae
Description: retained intron
Source: RNAcentral
GGACGCUGGGACGAGUUUGUAGCUCCGGCCCUGCCGUUCCGACCCCCGCCGCGGUCGCCGCCAUGACGGGGCUAGCACUGCUCUACUCCGGGGUCUUCGUGGCCUUCUGGGCCUGCGCGCUGGCCGUGGGAGUCUGCUACACCAUUUUUGAUUUGGGCUUCCGCUUUGAUGUGGCAUGGUUCCUGACGGAGACUUCGCCCUUCAUGUGGUCCAACCUGGGCAUUGGCCUAGCUAUCUCUCUGUCUGUGGUUGGGGCAGCCUGGGGCAUCUAUAUUACCGGCUCCUCCAUCAUUGGUGGAGGAGUGAAGGCCCCCAGGAUCAAGACCAAGAACCUGGUCAGGUAAGUGUCAGGGUCCUUGGACUUUUGUCAGAACCAGCUGUGUUGGCGCUGCCUGUGUGUUUGAUCUGACAUACUGUUUCUGACAAGCCACCUUGUGGGAUGGGAUGUUAUAGGGGAAAGAUUGCUGGGGACUUACUGGGCAGGAAGGACGGUUUCUUUCUCAUUUCUUUCUCCUUUCCACUCCUUACCCCUAAUCUCUACCACUACCAGCAUCAUCUUCUGUGAGGCUGUGGCCAUCUACGGCAUCAUCAUGGCAAUUGUCAUUAGCAACAUGGCUGAGCCUUUCAGUGCCACAGACCCCAAGGCCAUCGGCCAUCGGAACUACCAUGCAGGUGGGUGGAUGGGCGUAUGAAUGCAAAAUGCUGGGACUUCAUGCCUGCUUCCACUCUCCCCCAUCCCAGCUUGGGCCAUCAUUUUGAUAUUCUCUCACCUACUUUUUCUGCUUUGCAGAGUGGGGAUGGUGAUUGGCCCCAUUAGCCCAUAUCUCCCCCAUUCCUGGCUUAGCCUCACUGCACCCCUCUCUAUCCUCCCAGGCUACUCCAUGUUUGGGGCUGGCCUCACCGUAGGCCUGUCUAACCUCUUCUGUGGAGUCUGCGUGGGCAUCGUGGGCAGUGGGGCUGCC